RNAcentral lists this ribosomal RNA (834 nucleotides) under Calamaria septentrionalis (Hong Kong dwarf snake). RNAcentral's name for it is "partial 16S ribosomal RNA". The record is from RNAcentral. Lineage: Eukaryota; Metazoa; Chordata; Lepidosauria; Squamata; Calamariidae.
CACAUCAAACAUCUUUAACCAAUAAACAAAACAUUUGACCAACCUAGUAGAUGUGAUCGAACAGUAAACACUACAGUACCGUAAGGGAAACCCAUUAAGCAACAAACAGCAAAGACUAGCCCUUGUACCUUUCGCAUUAUGGUUUAGCAAGAAAUCAGGACAAGAAGAAUCACAGCCCACACCCCGAAACCAGAUGAGCUACUUUAAAGCAGCCUAACGAGCGCACCCUUCUCUGUAGCAAAAGACGUGGGAAGACUUAAAAGUAGAGGCGAAACACCUACCGAAUCUGGAGAUAGCUGGCUACCCAACAAAUGAAUCUAAGUUCUACUUUAGACCAAAAAUACUAUCUAAUAACCUAAAGACACUCAAUAGGGGUACAGCUCUAUUGAAACAGGAAACAACCUGAACUUGAGAGAAAACACCAAACACAAACCAGUAGGCCUUAAAGCAGCCACCCUAAAAAAUAUCGUUAAAGAAUUAACCACAUUAAUACCAAUAACCACAAAAAACUCCAAAUAAACUAAAGGUAGACUCAUAAUAAUGAGUUCUAUUAUGCUAAAACUAAUAAUAAGACAACCUCUCUAUACAUAACCCCCCACUAACCACGGAUAAACCAUUAGCUGUUAACAGACCAUAAAAGGAAUAAACAACCAAUACACUAACACAAACAAACUGUGACCCCAACACCGGUAUGUUAUAAAGAAAGGUAAACUAUUAUAAAAGGAACUCGGCAAACCAGAAGCCCCAACUGUUUAACAAAAACAUAACCUUUAGCUAAACAAGUAUUAAAGGCAACGCCUGCCCAGUGAAUAUUAAACGGCCGCGGUACCCUAA